RNAcentral lists this unclassified non-coding RNA (397 nucleotides) under uncultured Olpidium. RNAcentral's name for it is "partial contains 5.8S ribosomal RNA, internal transcribed spacer 2, and large subunit ribosomal RNA". The stretch from base 1 to 102 matches the Rfam family "5.8S ribosomal RNA", at positions 53 to 154 of the family's 154-position model. Lineage: Eukaryota; Fungi; Olpidiomycota; Olpidiomycetes; Olpidiales; Olpidiaceae. The record is from RNAcentral.
AUGCGAUAAGUAAUGUGAAUUGCAGAAUUCAGUGAAUCAUCGAAUCUUUGAACGCAUAUUGCGCUCUCCGGCAUUCCGGAGAGCAUGCCUGUUUGAGUAUUGGCCUAAAUGAGAGUCUUCCUUUAAAGAUAUAAAAAAGAACGUUAAGAACCCUCAGUUGAGACUUCUCGACAAUUCAUUGCCGAGUGUUUUAAAAUGCAAUAGUACCGCCACGUUUGCGAACUUGGAGUAAUAUGUGAGCCUGAAAAGGUGACCUCUAUUCUCCUCGGACCACGUAGACUUGUUGAGCGGGAAGUUUUUGAAUGCUGAAUUAUGGGAGACGGUGUUCAAUUGUUCGAGUAACGACGAACGAAAUAAACUCAAUCUCAAAUCAGGUAGGAUUACCCGCUGAACUUAA